Olea europaea var. sylvestris is the source of this 1474-nucleotide RNA transcript. It is a transcript of the gene named probable prolyl 4-hydroxylase 3, with no coding region annotated. The transcript has 7 exons. Lineage: Eukaryota; Viridiplantae; Streptophyta; Magnoliopsida; Lamiales; Oleaceae. The record is from RefSeq and is a predicted model, not a curated record.
UUCCACCUCGAAUACGUUGACACAUUGAGGACGCUUCCGUCUUUUGAUUUCAGCUCAUCUUCCUUCUAAGUUGUAUCGGCAACAUACAAAAUCUACUUGAAGCAAUUCGAAUCAAAUUUUUCUUUAGCUAAAAUCGAAUUUUUCGAGGGUUUUGUCUUUGAAUUUUUUCUUGAUUUAAUGGCGAAGGGGAGGAGUAAUCGGCAUCAAGGGAAGAGAUCCUCUACGGUGACGUUGGUGCUAUUUAUGUUAUUAAUGGUUACAAUUAUUUUACUAAUGCUAUUGGCUCUCGGAAUCCUCUCUCUACCUGCUGGCUACGAUGAUGAGUCGUCGAGUAUCGGUGGUCGCAUCAAAUUCAAGCGCUUGAACUUAGACAUAAGAGGAGGAGAGAGAUUGGGAAAAAGAGGAGAGCAGUGGACUGAGAUGCUGUCGUGGGAGCCUAGGGCUUUCAUUUACCACAAUUUCUUGUCCAAGGAAGAAUGCGUGCAUCUGAUAGAUCUUGCCAAACCUCACAUGGCAAAAUCGGUAGUUGUUGACAGCAAGACAGGCAAGAGUAAAGAUAGCAGGGUUCGUACAAGUUCUGGAAUGUUUUUAAGGAGGGGACAGGAUAAAAUCAUCACUGAUAUUGAAAAAAGAAUAGCAGAUUACACAUUCAUACCUGCAGAGCACGGAGAAGGCCUACAAGUUCUGCACUAUGAAGCUGGUCAAAAAUAUGAGCCUCACUAUGACUACUUUCUUGAUGAAUUCAACACUAGAAAUGGUGGUCAACGCAUAGCUACUAUUCUCAUGUAUUUUGCAGGUCAGAUGUUGAAGAAGGGGGUGAAACAGUCUUUCCUGCUGCUAAGGGAAAUUUUAGCUCUGUCACAGGGUGGAAUGAAAUGUCAGAAUGUGCUAAGAGAGGACUUGCAGUGAAACCAAAAAUGGGCGAUGCAUUGCUUUUCUGGAGCAUGCGGCCUGAUGCUACUCUAGAUCCUUCAAGUUUGCAUGGUGGUUGCCCUGUCAUCAGAGGGAACAAGUGGUCAUCUACAAAGUGGAUGCGUGUGGGUGAAUACAGUGUCUAAACAAUUUUUAAGGUAGCCCUGCUUAAUCAUCUGGUGUUCGUCUUUUCUUCUUUCCUUUUUUUUUGCAUUCUCUUUAGCUCCUGCACCCCACGGAGAAAAGGAGACAAAUGACAUAAUAUUUACAUAGGAGGGUGAUUGCUAAUGUUUACUCUUCCCCUCGUGUUAUGGUCUUGGUCCCAAGACUUCUUUUCUCGAAAUUUGAAUCCAAUGUAGCUGUUUCUAUACAACAGACUAUUAUACAUGUAAGGUAGAAAUUUUAAGGCCUCUGAGGAAGUUCAUAGUCUAGGUAAAUAUAAUAUUCUCAUUGUUCUUUAUCUCGGUAGCAUAGUUAAUAAACAUGCCUUGGAACAAAGGUCUCCUGGGGUUCUUCAAAAUGAAUCAAAUAUUACAUUUUAAUGAAAAGUUUCCAAAACCAA